Molecule: ribosomal RNA, 478 nt
Filed under: uncultured bacterium
Lineage: Bacteria
Description: partial 16S ribosomal RNA
Rfam family: Bacterial small subunit ribosomal RNA
Source: RNAcentral
GAUGAACGCUGGCGGCGUGCUUAACACAUGCAAGUCGAACGGGAAACCUUUUAUUGAAGCUUCGGCAGAUUUAGCUGGUUUCUAGUGGCGGACGGGUGAGUAACGCGUGGGUAACCUGCCUUAUACAGGGGGAUAACAGUCAGAAAUGGCUGCUAAUACCGCAUAAGCGCACAGAGCUGCAUGGCUCAGUGUGAAAAACUCCGGUGGUAUAAGAUGGACCCGCGUUGGAUUAGCUGGUUGGUGGGGUAACGGCCCACCAAGGCGACGAUCCAUAGCCGGCCUGAGAGGGUGAACGGCCACAUUGGGACUGAGACACGGCCCAGACUCCUACGGGAGGCAGCAGUGGGGAAUAUUGCACAAUGGGGGAAACCCUGAUGCAGCGACGCCGCGUGAAGGAAGAAGUAUCUCGGUAUGUAAACUUCUAUCAGCAGGGAAGAUAAUGACGGUACCUGACUAAGAAGCCCCGGCUAACUACGUG